UCCCGUUGAUUGACGUGCUUGCACUGAUUUCAACAUUGGAACGAGUGGCGAACUGGUGAGUAACACGUGGAAAACCUGCCCAGAAGCAGGGGAUAACACUUGGAAACAGGUGCUAAUACCGUAUAACAACAAAAACCGCAUGGUUUUUGUUUGAAAGGUGGCUUCGGCUAUCACUUCUGGAUGGUUCCGCGGCGCAUUAGCUUGUUGGUGGGGUAACGGCUCACCAAGGCGAUGAUGCGUAGCCGACCUGAGAGGGUAAUCGGCCACAUUGGGACUGAGACACGGCCCAGACUCCUACGGGAGGCAGCAGUAGGGAAUCUUCCACAAUGGACGCAAGUCUGAUGGAGCAAUGCCGCGUGAGUGAAGAAGGGUUUCGGCUCGUAAAACUCUGUUGUUGAAGAAGAACGGGUGUCAGAGUAACUGUUGACAUCGUGACGGUAUUCAACCAGAAAGCCACGGCUAACUACGUGCCAGCAGCCGCGGUAAUACGUAGGUGGCAAGCGUUGUCCGGAUUUAUUGGGCGUAAAGCGAGCGCAGGCGGUUUCUUAAGUCUGAUGUGAAAGCCUUCGGCUUAACCGAAGAAGUGCAUCGGAAACUGGGGGAACUUGAGUGCAGAAGAGGACAGUGGAACUCCAUGUGUAGCGGUGGAAUGCGUAGAUAUAUGGAAGAACACCAGUGGCGAACGCGGCUGUCUAGUCUGCAACUGA
RNAcentral lists this ribosomal RNA (707 nucleotides) under Levilactobacillus namurensis. RNAcentral describes it as "bacterial SSU rRNA". It matches the Rfam family "Bacterial small subunit ribosomal RNA", at positions 62 to 743 of the family's 1533-position model. Lineage: Bacteria; Bacillati; Bacillota; Bacilli; Lactobacillales; Lactobacillaceae. The record is from RNAcentral.